Molecule: ribosomal RNA, 253 nt
Filed under: uncultured bacterium
Lineage: Bacteria
Description: partial 16S ribosomal RNA
Rfam family: Bacterial small subunit ribosomal RNA
Source: RNAcentral
UACAGAGGGGGCAAGCGUUGUUCGGAAUUACUGGGCGUAAAGGGCGCGUAGGCGGCCGCCUAAGUCAGACGUGAAAUCCCUCGGCUCAACCGGGGAACUGCGUCUGAUACUGGGCGGCUUGAAUUCGGGAGAGGAAUGCGGAAUUCCCAGUGUAGCGGUGAAAUGCGUAGAUAUUGGGAGGAACACCAGUGGCGAAGGCGGCUCACUGGACUGGUACUGACGCUGAGGCGCGAAAGCGUGGGGAGCAAACGGG